GUGUGUGUGUGUGUGUGUGUGUGUGUGUGUGUGUGUGUGUCUCUCUCUCUCUCUCUCUCUCUCUUUCUUUCAGAAAUAAAUAAACAUUAAAAAAAACCCAGGAAACUCUUCCUUGGCUAUCUAAAAUAGCACCCUUGUUACUCUUUGCCCUCUUAACUCUGCCUGAUUUUUCUUGGUAGCACUUAUCACUGAGAUCACUGUCCAUCCUCUUAAUAUCCGGCCAGGUUUUUUUUAUUGGCACUUAUCAUUAUCCAAGGUCAUAUUUUGUAAUUCUUAUUUAAAAAUUUUCUGCCUCCUCCACUAGAAUGUAAACUGCAUCAGGGCAGGGACUUGGCUCUGUUAUUUGCUGAAUCCCCAGCACUACGUUUGAACGGCACCUGGUACUUUGAGGGCCCUCGCCUAUUCAUUGAAUGAAUGAAUUCUCUUUUGAUCACCUAGAGUUGAGUCUGGAUACUUGUUGUCCUCAGUAAAUGCACACUCUUUGGCAGCCUCAAUUCCCUCACCUUUAAACUCUGAAUUGGGCCAGGAAAUGUCUACUCCAGCAGGUCAUUGUGAAGAUUAAUCAACAUGCAAACUGCCUGGCGUUCUCUGACUCCCCCUCCCUCUCCUCCAUUAAUCUCGAAUGGCUGUGGUCACUUGACUUCUCUAUGACCCUUUAGGUACUUAAUUUGCAUUAUAUCAGUUCCAUCUGCUUUGUAACUGCACCUCAUUUAUUUCCUGCGUGUUUUCAUUGUUUUCCGAUGGAAACGCCUCUAGCCUGGCUUGGGUCAUUUGCAUACCACUUGUAGCAUAGCACCUCCCCUGUCUGUCUCCAUUUGUAACCAUGGAUCCACCCUCCCCAAUGCCUUCCUAAACGAGGCUUGAUGACGAUGUCCUUCCUGUCUGAUUCUCAUGCAUUAUAACACGAGCCGAGUGUCCCACGGUCACAGAAACACUCAUGGAAAACUUGCAGUGCUGGGAAGGACUUUUGAGACACUGUGAUCUACUCAUCCUUCAAAUAAGGGGGGAAAAAAAACCCCAAAGGAAGUUGCCAAAGAUCACCAAGAUGACUGUCAGUUAGAGAAACUGCCCAUGAGGCCCCGGGAUCGGUCCCGGGUGAUCGAUGCUGCCAAACACGCCCACAAGUUUUGUAACACAGAAGACGAGGAGACUAUGUAUCUUCGGAGGGACACCAGUCAUAUUGGAUUAAGGGCACAUCCUACCCAUCUGCAUGACCUCAUCGUAACUAAUUAUAUCUGCAAGGACCCUCUUUCCAAGCCUGAAGGCAUUGAACGACAAUACCGGAAGAAGUGUGCCAAGUGUGGACUGCCACUCUUCUAUCAGUCCCAGCCGAAGAACGCUCCUGUGACCUUCAUCGUGGAUGGAGCAGUGGUCAAGUUUGGCCAGGGUUUUGGCAAAACAAAUAUCUAUACCCAGAAACAGGAGCCUCCUAAGAAGGUGAUGAUGACCAAACGGACGAAAGACAUGGGCAAGUUCAGCUCUGUCACGGUGUCUACGAUUGACGAAGAGGAAGAGGAGAUCGAGGCUAGAGAAGUCGCUGACUCGUACGCGCAGAAUGCCAAGGUCAUUGAAAAGCAGCUGGAGCGCAAAGGCAUGAGCAAAAGGCGGCUGCAGGAGCUGACUGGCAGGUGUCAGCUCUGGUUUGAAUCUCUCUGCUGUCGGAAGAAAAUCCAUAAAAAGCCAGAAUGUACGUAGAGCUUCCUUUACUUGAUGUUCAGAGAAACUUGCCCAGUCACAGACUCCAGAAACAGCACAGCCUUGCUUCCUGUACUUCAAAUAUUAAAGCUCUGGGCAUGCUCUACCGACUGAGCCGGGCCAGGCGCCCCUAAAGGUCCCUUCUCAGUCCCCCGCUUGCACCUGCCAGUCCCAGCAGGAUCUGGAGAGCUUCCACUUUGGUUCCCCUGCUCCGGGCCACCACACACGGAUCUCCACUACUUGUUUGUGCGUUCUGACCCCACGACUCCUACUACGAUCCCCCUCGACUCACUGCGCUCCAGCCACUGUGGUCUCCUCCCUGGUUCUCACAGAUGCCCGGCACAUUCCUGACUGAGGCCUCCGCAUUUGCUGUUCCUCUGCCUGGAACACUCUUCCCCCAGGAAAUCAACAACAACAACAAUGAAUCGAAGCCUGAUUAAGAGCAUUUACCGAUCUCUGCAUUACGAGUACCCAGCGCAUGGCUGAUUGCAAGUCCCCAGCCUCACCGUGACAUUGGGAAGAGAUGUGCAACUGCCCACUGUCAUACGGUAUUUCAGCCGCCCGGAUGUGGGAGAUUGUCACCUCACGUGUACGGGUCACAGUAAAAUAGAGUAAAAAUGGUUAGGGAGUGAUGAGUUUGUGGCUAUUUAUUACCUAGUUUUUAAUUUUUUUUAACGUUUUUAUUUAUUUUUUGAGACAGAGAGAGACAGAGCAUGAGAAGGGGAGGGGCAGAGAGAGAGGGAGACACAGCAUCGGAAGCAGGCUCCAGGCUCUGAGCCAUCAGCACAGAGCCCCACGCGGGGCUCAAACUCACAGACCGCGAGAUCGUGACCCGAGCUGAAGUCGGACGCUUAACCGACCGAGCCCCCCAGGCUCCCCUAUUACCUAUAUUUCUUUAUAACCUUAACAACCAGCUCACAUUUGUGACAAGGUGGCAUUUGGCUCCCAUGGGCCAGGAGGAGCCAGCUCCCUGGGCCUGGCUAGAUUUCCAGGUCCUGAAUGACCCUCAUCCCUUCUCCCACUCCCCUCUGCCAUUAAUUCGAGGACCUCCCAGCCCACCGCCACAGCUGGGGAGCUCCCGGGUUCCAGAGCUAACCCUAGCGGCCACCUUGAAUGAAGGCACUGGAGAGAGUGACAACGGUGGCUUUUCCAUGGCUGGGUGGCCUCUUUCUGCCUGAAAAAAAAAAAAAAGCAGAGGUGGAAGACAGCCAGGGACACUCACAGUGACUCCAGAAGGCACAUCUGGCAAGCACUCAAGACUAAGAGGAAAAGGAGGGAUGAAGCGGUGAGGGCAGGGGAGCUUGGGCUCAGCCUUCUGUCCAUUUGGCUCUACUCCUAGGCUGUAAUUUAUUGCUGAAGACUUUCCAGAAAGGCUGGUGACGCUGGAGACGAGGCAGCGCCGGUGGGGGGGGGGCACCCCUUCGCUCCUGCCUCCAGGAUGUCAGCCAGAGCCUGCGGGUGGUCUCCUGUCUGCUCUUGGAGUCUACAUCCGGGGCCCAUUCGUCUUUCGGCAGGAGACGGUGGCAGUGACUUUGGGGCUCUUGUGGAAUAUGACUCCCUCUGGGGAAAGCCCGCCCUGCGUUCUGGGCCAUCCUCUGCGCGCUGGCCACGGAUCAACCCUGUUUCUUUCCAGGUGCCUCUGCUCUCCAGGCCACCGCCCAGGCAACUUAUCAGGUCCGACGGCUCCGUACAGUUGGGCCAUGCUGGGAUGAACCGCGCGAAUGGGGACCCUGUGUUUGCACCUAGGCUGGCAGCUGCCCAAGGGCCCGGGCCCCAGCCCCACCCCGCCCCGCGCUCAGUACAAGGACCGGCCCGCGGGGACCGAAUGAAUCAAUGAGUACAAGCCUGGCGGACAUUCAAGAUUUCUCCCUGGUGAAACAGAAGCACAGUGUGGAGGCCUGUGUGGAAACACUCAUUUUCCCAGCGUGUACAAGGAGCGUCCUUGAUUGUUGCGGACGCUUGGUGGCAGGGGCAGGGAGGGCAAACCCCGCCCCCCACCCCCGCCCCCGCCCCCACGCACACACAGGUUCUCACCGGCUAGCCGUUCUGUAACCGGGAAGUUCAGAUGCCAACUGUUUUCCUUCCAGCCUAACAGGAAAGUCACCUUCACCCCCACCUCCCCGUGUGCGGCUCCCCCCGCCCCCCCACCAAGGAAGCUGCUGGCCGAAGUCCUGACUGGGAGCGAUUGCUCCUUCUUGGCACCGGCCCGAGAACAUCCUGUGCAUCUGAGAGGCCGGGCGCCGCCAUUCCCUGCCCUACGCGGGAUGGGAAGUGACCAGAGGGAGGACGCAGACAUCGCCGGCUCAGUACACUCGCAGCGGGGAGGGAUCCAACUGGACAGGUUUACAAGCGGUCCGCUCCACGCCCAGCACCCCCACCCCCGUGCCCUGGCCAGCACGCGCACCGGCAUCCACACGCGUCCUCCAGCAAACGCCUUCGGACAACCCCGUUCACAGGCUGACAAGGGGGCAUCGUAAAGUCCCUGCUCAGGGAGGGUCCAUGCCUGUCCUCUCCAAGGAGCACAUCCACACCUUCUGUUAACGUGCCCUGGGAUGCCGGCCCCUGUGAGUGUACCAGCUUGGAAGUUCUGGCGUCCGUGUUGUGUGUGUGUGUGUGUGUGUGCGUGUGUGCGUGUGUGUUAAGCAUCUGACUCUUGCUCUCUGGGCUCAGGUCAUG
RNA transcript from Prionailurus viverrinus (fishing cat), 4371 nucleotides. It is a transcript of the gene named STING1 ER exit protein 1, with no coding region annotated. NCBI's taxonomy places the organism in Eukaryota, Metazoa, Chordata, Mammalia, Carnivora, Felidae. The transcript has 11 exons. The record is from RefSeq and is a predicted model, not a curated record.